GCGCGAAAACUUUACAAUGCGAGAAAUCGUGAUAAGGGAACCCCGAGUGCCCGUAAAUUCGGGCUGUCCAUCAGCGUAAAAAACUGGUGAAGAAAGGGCCGGGCAAGACCGGUGCCAGCCGCCGCGGUAAUACCGGCGGCUCGAGUGGUGGCCACUAUUACUGGGCUUAAAGCGCCCGUAGCUGGAUUGUUAAGUCUCUUGGGAAAUCCGCCGGCUUAACCGGCGGGCGUUCAGGAGAAACUGGCAAUCUAGGGACCGGGAGAGGUGAGAGGUACUCCAGGGGUAGGAGUGAAAUCCUGUAAUCCUUGGGGGACCACCUGUGGCGGAGGCGUCUCACUAGAACGGCUCCGACAGUGAGGGACGAAAGCUGGGGGAGCAAACCG
RNAcentral lists this ribosomal RNA (383 nucleotides) under uncultured bacterium. RNAcentral's name for it is "bacterial SSU rRNA". It matches the Rfam family "Archaeal small subunit ribosomal RNA", at positions 339 to 726 of the family's 1478-position model. The record is from RNAcentral.